GAUGAACGCUGGCGGCGUGCCUAAUACAUGCAAGUCGAGCGAACGGACGAGAAGCUUGCUUCUCUGAUGUUAGCGGCGGACGGGUGAGUAACACGUGGAUAACCUACCUAUAAGACUGGGAUAACUUCAGGAAACCGGAGCUAAUACCGGAUAAUAUUUUGAACCGCAUGGUUCAAAAGUGAAAGACGGUCUUGCUGUCACUUAUAGAUGGAUCCGCGCUGCAUUAGCUAGUUGGUAAGGUAACGGCUUACCAAGGCAACGAUGCAUAGCCGACCUGAGAGGGUGAUCGGCCACACUGGAACUGAGACACGGUCCAGACUCCUACGGGAGGCAGCAGUAGGGAAUCUUCCGCAAUGGGCGAAAGCCUGACGGAGCAACGCCGCGUGAGUGAUGAAGGUCUUCGGAUCGUAAAACUCUGUUAUUAGGGAAGAACAUAUGUGUAAGUAACUGUGCACAUCUUGACGGUACCUAAUCAGAAAGCCACGGCUAACUACGUGCCAGCAGCCGCGGUAAUACGUAGGUGGCAAGCGUUAUCCGGAAUUAUUGGGCGUAAAGCGCGCGUAGGCGGUUUUUUAAGUCUGAUGUGAAAGCCCACGGCUCAACCGUGGAGGGUCAUUGGAAACUGGAAAACUUGAGUGCAGAAGAGGAAAGUGGAAUUCCAUGUGUAGCGGUGAAAUGCGCAGAGAUAUGGAGGAACACCAGUGGCGAAGGCGACUUUCUGGUCUGUAACUGACGCUGAUGUGCGAAAGCGUGGGGAUCAAACAGGAUUAGAUACCCUGGUAGUCCACGCCGUAAACGAUGAGUGCUAAGUGUUAGGGGGUUUCCGCCCCUUAGUGCUGCAGCUAACGCAUUAAGCACUCCGCCUGGGGAGUACGACCGCAAGGUUGAAACUCAAAGGAAUUGACGGGGACCCGCACAAGCGGUGGAGCAUGUGGUUUAAUUCGAAGCAACGCGAAGAACCUUACCAAAUCUUGACAUCCUUUGACAACUCUAGAGAUAGAGCCUUCCCCUUCGGGGGACAAAGUGACAGGUGGUGCAUGGUUGUCGUCAGCUCGUGUCGUGAGAUGUUGGGUUAAGUCCCGCAACGAGCGCAACCCUUAAGCUUAGUUGCCAUCAUUAAGUUGGGCACUCUAAGUUGACUGCCGGUGACAAACCGGAGGAAGGUGGGGAUGACGUCAAAUCAUCAUGCCCCUUAUGAUUUGGGCUACACACGUGCUACAAUGGACAAUACAAAGGGCAGCGAAACCGCGAGGUCAAGCAAAUCCCAUAAAGUUGUUCUCAGUUCGGAUUGUAGUCUGCAACUCGACUACAUGAAGCUGGAAUCGCUAGUAAUCGUAGAUCAGCAUGCUACGGUGAAUACGUUCCCGGGUCU
This 1372-nucleotide ribosomal RNA is filed under the name uncultured bacterium. Its description in RNAcentral is "bacterial SSU rRNA". It matches the Rfam family "Bacterial small subunit ribosomal RNA", at positions 28 to 1381 of the family's 1533-position model. The record is from RNAcentral.